This 421-nucleotide ribosomal RNA is filed under the name uncultured Cytophagaceae bacterium. Its description in RNAcentral is "bacterial SSU rRNA". It matches the Rfam family "Bacterial small subunit ribosomal RNA", at positions 353 to 772 of the family's 1533-position model. The record is from RNAcentral. Lineage: Bacteria; Pseudomonadati; Bacteroidota; Cytophagia; Cytophagales; Cytophagaceae.
AGUAGGGAAUAUUGGACAAUGGGUGAGAGCCUGAUCCAGCCAUGCCGCGUGCAGGAAGAAGGCGUUAUGCGUUGUAAACUGCUUUUGCCAGGGGAUAAAAAAGGCGUGCGCGCCUAAUUGAAGGUACCUGGUGAAUAAGCCACGGCUAACUACGUGCCAGCAGCCGCGGUAAUACGUAGGUGGCAAGCGUUGUCCGGAUUUAUUGGGUUUAAAGGGUGCGUAGGCGGCCCUGUAAGUCAGUGCUGAAAUAUCCCGGCUUAACCGGGAGGGUGGCAUUGAUACUGCAGGGCUUGAGUACAGAUGAAGCAGGCGGAAUUGACGGUGUAGCGGUGAAAUGCAUAGAUAUCGUCAAGAACACCGAUAGCGAAGGCAGCUUGCUAAGCUGUAACUGACGCUGAGGCACGAAAGUGUGGGGAUCAAA